Molecule: ribosomal RNA, 490 nt
Filed under: uncultured bacterium
Lineage: Bacteria
Description: partial 16S ribosomal RNA
Rfam family: Bacterial small subunit ribosomal RNA
Source: RNAcentral
AGUGAACGCUGGCGGCAGGCCUAAUACAUGCAAGUCGAACGGCAGCACAGUGGAGCUUGCUCCAUGGGUGGCGAGUGGCGGACGGGUGAGGAAUACAUGGGAAUCUGCCCAGUCGUGGGGGAUAACGUAGGGAAACUUACGCUAAUACCGCAUGCGCCCUUCGGGGGAAAGCCGGGGACCUUCGGGCCUGGCGCGAUUGGAUGAGCCCAUGUUCGAUUAGCUAGUUGGCGGGGUAAAGGCCCACCAAGGCGACGAUCGAUAGCUGGUCUGAGAGGAUGAUCAGCCACACUGGGACUGAGACACGGCCCAGACUCCUACGGGAGGUAGCAGUAGGGAAUAUUGGACAAUGGGCGCAGGCCUGAUCCAGCCAUGCCGCGUGAGUGAAGAAGGCCCUCGGGUUGUAAAGCUCUUUUGUCCGGGAAGAAAAGCAUCGGGCUAAUACCUCGGUGUUCUGACGGUACCGGAAGAAUAAGCACCGGCUAACUUCGUG